UGGGGAAUCUUCCGCAAUGGACGAAAGUCUGACGGAGCAACGCCGCGUGUAUGAUGAAGGUCUUCGGAUUGUAAAGUACUGUCAUUGGGGAAGAACGGUUUUCUUGAAAAGAUUGAGAAGACAUGACGGUACCCAAGGAGGAAGCCCCGGCUAACUACGUGCCAGCAGCCGCGGUAAUACGUAGGGGGCAAGCGUUGUCCGGAAAUUAUUGGGCGUAAAGGGCGCGUAGGCGGGCCUUUAAGUCCGGUGUGAAAGAUCAGGGCUCAACCCUGAGAGUGCAUCGGAAACUGGAGGCCUUGAGGACAGGAGAGGAAAGUGGAAUUCCACGUGUAGCGGUGAAAUGCGUAGAUAUGUGGAGGAACACCAGUGGCGAAAGGCGACUUUCUGGACUGUAACUGACGCUGAGGCGCGAAAAGCGUGGGGAGCAAAACAGGAUUAGAUACCCUGGUAGUCCACGCCGUAAAACGAUGGGUGCUAGGUGUAGAGGGUAUCGACCCCUUCUGUGCCGCAGUUAACACAAUAAGCACUCCCGCCUGGGGAGUACGGCCGCAAGGUUGAAACUCAAAUGAAUUGACGGGGUCAUAGCUG
This 588-nucleotide ribosomal RNA is filed under the name uncultured bacterium. RNAcentral describes it as "partial 16S ribosomal RNA". It matches the Rfam family "Bacterial small subunit ribosomal RNA", at positions 355 to 932 of the family's 1533-position model. The record is from RNAcentral.